This 253-nucleotide ribosomal RNA is filed under the name uncultured bacterium. Its description in RNAcentral is "partial 16S ribosomal RNA". It matches the Rfam family "Bacterial small subunit ribosomal RNA", at positions 524 to 776 of the family's 1533-position model. The record is from RNAcentral.
GACGAACCGUCCAAACGUUAUUCGGAAUCACUGGGCUUACAGAGUUCGUAGGCGGUCUGGAAAGUUGGGUGUGAAAUCCCUCGGCCUAACCGAGGAACUGCGCUUGAAACUACCAGACUCGAGGGGGAUAGAGGAAAGCGGAACUGAUGGUGGAGCGGUGAAAUGCGUUGAUAUCAUCAGGAACACCGGUGGCGAAGGCGGCUUUCUGGACCGACACUGACGCUGAGGCGCGAAAGCUAGGGGAGCAAACGGG